Non-coding RNA from Paramuricea clavata, 398 nucleotides. The record is from the annotation of a GenBank genome assembly. NCBI's taxonomy places the organism in Eukaryota, Metazoa, Cnidaria, Anthozoa, Malacalcyonacea, Plexauridae.
CCUGAAUGGCCGCCAGUUAUCAUGAACUAUGCUUACGGUUUUAUAUACAUAUCAUGGUAGACUAAAUAACACAAACUUCUGGCUUGAUAAUUCUUCAUACCAUGCUCAAACCUCAUUCAAUAAUUAUUAAAUAUAGUCCAUUUGGCAUUAUCUCAGCUGAUUCAUGCGUCACCUUCACCGUCACCAAGAUGUUAAUAGGGACCUUUAGCAAAUAGGUGACGGCACGCGACGACGACGGCCAAAAUAAACUCGUUCGAAUAAGUAACUUUAAGAUCAACAUGUUUUGUAUUAUCCGUUGUAUGAAUUUAUUGCAAUUUAAGAAGGUUAAGACAGAGGUUUAUAGUUGAGAAGACUUCUACUAAGCCAAUUUGGCGAGGACGACUUCUCGCGGCUUGAAA